CGAGGUGUAACUCAGUUUGGUAGAGUGCUUGGUUUGGGACCAAGAUGCCGCAGGUUCAACUCCUGUCACCUCGACCA
This 77-nucleotide transfer RNA is filed under the name Ruminococcus sp. RNAcentral describes it as "tRNA-Pro". It matches the Rfam family "tRNA". From Rfam's summary of the family: Transfer RNA (tRNA) molecules are approximately 80 nucleotides in length. Their secondary structure includes four short double-helical elements and three loops (D, anti-codon, and T loops). RNAcentral also lists the same sequence under 5 other names. Lineage: Bacteria; Bacillati; Bacillota; Clostridia; Eubacteriales; Oscillospiraceae. The record is from RNAcentral.